UCGCGGCUUAUCACCGGCAGUCUCCCAUGAGUCCCCGACAUUACUCGCUGGCAACUAAAGGCAGGGGUUGCGCUCGUUGCGGGACUUAACCCAACAUCUCACGACCCGAGCUGACGACAGCCAUGCAGCACCUCGACUAGCGUCCCUUGCGGGAAAAGAAACUUUCGCCUCCUGUCACUAGCCGUUCGAGCCCAGGUAAGGUUCUUCGCGUUGCGUCGAAUUAAACCACAUACUCCACCGCUUGUGCGGGCCCCCGUCAAUUCCUUUAUGUUUUAGUCUUGCGACCGUACUCCACAGGCGGGAUACUUAACGCGUUAGCUUCGCUACUGAAGGGGUCGAUACCUCCAACAGCUAGUAUCCAUCGUUUACGGCGUGGACUAC
This 381-nucleotide unclassified non-coding RNA is filed under the name uncultured bacterium. Its description in RNAcentral is "contains 16S-23S intergenic spacer region". The record is from RNAcentral.